UCAAAUCAAUUUCAUCUAAAAGAAAUUUCCAACUUCCUUUUAGAAAAUUAUUUUCCCAACUUUCAUAUAUAGUCUACAUCUCAAACAAAAUUCCAACUCUCAUAGUCCAAUAUAUUUAUGAAAACCCAAUCUUUCACCCCAUUUUUUGUUCAUUCAUAUCAAUCCAAAAGGAAAAAAAGCUCUUGAAUUUCAAUCAGAAAAUAUUCCUUUAAUAUGUUGUUUCUUCGACUUGUUUUGGGGUCAAUAUUCAUAGUUUGUUGCCUUACGACGCUUACAAAUGGAGCUACACUUGCCCAAGAUGAAGUGGAAGCUUUGAAAAGGAUUGGUAAAACAUUGGGGAAGAAAGGGUGGAACUUUGGUUUUGAUCCAUGCAGUCAACACCAUAGUUGGGUAGAUCAAUCCACACGUUAUUAUGCUAAUAAUGUUACAUGUGAUUGGUCCUUCAACAGUAACACUAUCUGUCAUGUGGUUCGCAUGUAAGUAUAUACAUGUAUAUAUGCAUAUAUAUCUUCCUUGAAAAGAAAAUUUAUGCAGUAUGUCCAAAUUUGUUUAGUUCGUGGAUUAUAUGAUUUUUUAAUCAUAUGAUUUAAUUUUAUUAAGAAAAGUACAUGAAAUUUGAGAUUUAAUAAAUAUGAAAUGAUAUCAUUUGAGCGUACUCUAUUACAUAUACAUAUAA
This is a long non-coding RNA of Gossypium arboreum, 676 nucleotides long. RefSeq lists it as uncharacterized. The transcript is spliced from 2 exons. NCBI's taxonomy places the organism in Eukaryota, Viridiplantae, Streptophyta, Magnoliopsida, Malvales, Malvaceae. The record is from RefSeq and is a predicted model, not a curated record.